RNAcentral lists this long non-coding RNA (38613 nucleotides) under Medicago truncatula (barrel medic). RNAcentral's name for it is "long non-coding RNA (MTRU_LNC008280)". Lineage: Eukaryota; Viridiplantae; Streptophyta; Magnoliopsida; Fabales; Fabaceae. The record is from RNAcentral.
CAGUGUAGAUACAAGCAAAGAACAAUAACUUCCAGUCCUCAUCUUGAAAACAAGGUGUGGUUUUAUCAUAUAGAUGCCAUGUCAUUUUAGAUCUUCCUUGCAGAGCCGCAUACUGAAUAGGAGUAUAUCCAUUUCCAGCCCUUUUUACAGGUAAUUGUGAGUUCCUAUCCAACAGUAAGUCAACAAUUUCAAUGUUUCCAGCUGCCGCAGCAUAGCAAAAAGCGGUGUUUCCGAUCUUAUCUUGCAAUGUUAUAUCAUUCUCAUCAAGCAUCUUCAAUAGCUCCUUCACAAAGUGAAUGUGGUUUGCACCUGCAGCGAUAUGCAGUAGAGUAGGAUACCCAUUUGUUAUGGCAGCAUUUUUGAGCCUGUUCUCGUUGUCUAAGAUGUGUUUGGCUGCUCGCCAGUUUCCAUGUAGAGCAUGCUUGUAAAUUGGAACACAAAGGUUGAGAAAGCUAUCAUUUCCUAAAACAAAGGUUCAAUUGAAGUUAAAGAGAGUAAUAUAAUUCUAUUGCCAUAAUAUUAAACUCACCUACAUCACUGGAGAACCAUUCAAUGUAAUGAAAACAGAAUCAAAGUUUUACUAUUCUUUGAAUUCCACUAAUAUCAAUAAUUUUUCAAGAUUUCUCCCUAAAAAAAGAAAAAAAAAAUUCACGAUUUCCUUGCUUCUUGUCUUUAAAAGGAGCUGUGGAAAGCCUAUUGUCGCUGUGAAAGUUGUGUGAGGCUGUUGAGUAUACGAUGUUUUUGAUCUCGGAAGUUUAGUGAGAAAAAUAGGGCACUGAUAUUAAGAGGAUAUUAAGAGUGGGAAUAGAUCGGGCCGAGUUGGAGUCUGCUUAAAUAGGUCAGACCUAGUUGAUAAAACUAAAGCUUAAGUCUAACAUAUUAGCCUCUCAAAGGCUUUAGUUUAAACCUGGUCUAGCCUUUUUAAAAUUUGGCCUGGCCUAUUGGUUUGUAUAAAAGCCUAAUUUAUACUAACAACUAUUUUAAAUAUAACAUUUGAUCUAUUUUUUUUUUUUUUAAGAAACAUUUGAUCUAUUUUUAAAAAGGCUAAUAAACAUAUAUUUUUUAAAAGGCUAAUACACAGUAUAUAUAAUUACACAUAUGUGGGUCGGACUGAUAUGCCUAGGAAGCUUUUCUAUAACCCUUAGACUGACCUAUUUAAAUUAUUGUGCUUUUUAAAAAGCUUGAGCCUAACCUAUUUAAUAGAUGAGUAAGGCCGAACUGGCCUUUAAGUAGGUCGGGACAUAGACCCCUGACGAACGAACUGACCUAUUUCGACCCUAAACUGAUAUAAAGCAAACAUUUUAGAAAAGAAAGAGAAAUGUUUAUGGCCAAAUUUAUUUUGUGUGUAACCUUUUGAUUGCUUGUGACAAAAAUUGAUGUGUUGGUCACCUGACCACACUAGAAUAGAGAGAUUAUUUAGGAAACUCUCUGUUUUUUGAUCUCCUAUAUCUCAUCUCUAUGUGGAGUAGCUUAGCUUGCUCUUCCUUUGGUUUUGGUUUCCAUGAGGGAGGGAGGUUUAUUUGUUUUGUUCUUUUGGCGUUGUGGUUGUUUUGAGUUUUUUCUGGUGGUGGUGUUGGUGCUUUUUUGUUUUUGUUAAGGGGGUCGGUCCUUCCUUCCUUUGUCUUCAAUUUUGUGGUGUUGUUGUUUUAGUUUUUAUGCCAGUGUAGCAGGUGUUUCUAUUUAUUUUGAUCAAAUAGUUUAAAGGUUAGAAAUUCAUCAUUAAAGCGAAUAAGUCGGGAAUCCGGAUUCGAAUCUUGGUCCAUCAUAUAUUAUGCGUCAAGAGAGGUCUAUAUCAUAAUAUAAAAUAGAGGGGGUGUGAGUGACAUUUCAACAUACAUCAGGGGAGGUCAUUGUAAUUUCCCCUUUAUUAAAAUGAUAUAUUUUACAAGGGUAUAUUUCAAACAGAAAAAUUUACAGGGAACAAAUUUUAAACUCGUUAUUCCAAAAAAAAAAUUAGACUCGAUGUAUUUUUGCAGGGAUCAAAGACAUAUUUUAGCAACAAUUUAUUUUCAUUAACUCUUCUAUUACAGAUUUAUGAAUUCUAUUUUAAUAUGUAGUAAUAUUAAUAUUUCUAAAGUAAAAUAUUAUGAUAACGAAUGAAUAAAAUUGUGUUUCUUUCUUAGGAGAUCGCGGAAUGAUAUUUGUACAACCAAUUUUGUACAACCUUUGUGACAAACAUUUUUUCUCUAUUUUUAUUGGACAAAAACAAUAGAGAGAGAAAGUAAAAGAGAGAAUAAAAAAACAUGUGAGUAUGAUAGAGAGGGUUGUUUCAAAAGUUGUCAAAAAAUGGUUGUACACAAUACAUAUAUCAUUUCUCUAAUUUAUAAGUACAAAAUAAUUUGAGAGAGAGAGAAUCAUACUUUGUUCCUCUAAAAACUCAGGGUUAGGCAUGUUGUUGAGUAGAAAUGAUGCAGGCAUUAUUUGCACUCCUGGCGGUGAUAUUUGAGGACUAGAACUGGGAAGAGGAUGGAUAUCGGAUGUCGUCACUUCCCUGUCAAAGACAUCGUAUAUUUUAAAAUGUUUAAUACAAGAAAAUAUUGCAAUAAUGUAUUAAACAUUAAUAUAUGUUAGCAAAUAUGGGUGUAAUAUGUUUAAGUUUUUGAACAAAAAUUGAAUGUAUGAAACACUUAACUUGUCGAGCUCCUCCCACAUUUCCUUUGCCGUAUGGCAACUUGAAAUUCUUCUUAGAUCAUCUGGGUUUAAGGCACAAUAUAAAAUAUUUUUGGCUUUUGCUUCUCGUUCCAUGAUCUUCUUAUCUUCAUCAUUGAAUUCAUCUUCAGAUUUCUCCAACUCUUCACCAUGUAUUAUUUUUUUUGGAAUUUUCGGUCCAUUCUUAAUCACAAGCCAAAGAUCGAAGUCAACGGAUUGUAUGAAUAUCUUUAUACGCUCCUUCCACUCAGUACAAUUUGUUGUACCAUCGAAGUAUGGUGGCUUUGAAAUGGAUCUCCCUUCCACGAUCAUUGUGUCCAUACUUCUUUAAUUGUAUUGCCUUCAAUUUAUGUUUCCUCGUUAAUUAAGUCUAGCUUUUUUAUGGCUGCUAUUGGAGUGCUUGUAUGUUGAAAGUAUUAUGCAUCUAGGUUGGGGAAGCCGAUUGGAAAUGUUAGUGUUUUUUGGUUUUGACUAUUGAGUUUAUUUUUGGUGUUUUUUUGGGUCUUGUAGGGAGUGGUAGGUUGGCCGUUUGAACAUGGUGCUUUUGUCCUUUUGGUUGUUUUCUUGCUAUGCCCUAUGGAGAUGGUGUUGGUGGGUGUCUUAAUAAAAAAAAAAAAAAACAUUGAAGGCCCUUAAUAAAUUUAUUUUCUCGUUGGCCUCAAGUAUAUGAUUCUUAAUGACAAAGAUUCCCUCCUCCUUACAUGGACACAUCAUUACCAAAUUUUUAUAUCCCUCAAAAAAAUAAUUACCAAAUUUUUAUAGACCAUUUAAGGUUAUCUUCAUUUUUUCUUUAAAGUAGAUAGAAACAUCUUCAUUUAUAUAGUUUUGUUUGUAUACUAGUAAGUGUCGCUUGGUCAAUAUUUAAAAUGAAAAAGAAACAUUGAAAAGCUAAAAUAUUUUGUCGAUCUAUAAUAGAGUAACUUGAAUCCUUUAUCAGACUAUAGAAACUAAUAAAUAUUCAAGACAUUUGCGAGGAGUGUGAAGGAGAAACAAAGACUAUAAUAUAAAAUUAAAGAGCACAGCUCAAGAGUUGGUUGAAGCAAGUGAUGAUGCACAACAAAAAUUUAUACACACGGUUAUCAUGGAUAGGACAAUAGCCCGUAAUAAAAAAUUUAAUCUACCUUUCAUGUACAAAAGUGUAGAAACAUAUUUUUAACUACACGAAAUUUGCUUGUUCAAAAAAAAAACUACACGAAAUUUGCCGUAUAGCAAUGGCAAAAACCUUUGGUAAAGGUCAAAAAACCGUUGGUAUAGAUCAUAAAAUCUAUAUCAACGGACACUUGCUGCCGUCUACAAUAAUUAGCUUAUACCAACAACCAAAUUCCUUCCCAAUAGCCUAUACCAUCUGAAAAUUAGGGAAUCGGAAAAAAUCUCUGUGCUAUAGCAACGACUUUUUACACCAUUUAAUAGCUUUUAGCCACCACGUAAUCCGUUGGUAUAGGACCAGACUAUCCGUUGCUAAAAAUCUGCUUCUUCUCUGUUUUUUUUUACAAAUAAUAUUUCGUCUAAAUGAAAUAUUUUUUAAUAAGAAAAAUUUUACACUGCUUUUUAAAUGCACCACACUAUUUAAAGCAAAAUAAAAGAAAAUUUCAAUUAUAUUUUCAAAUUAAAAGUUCUUACAAACAUGUGAAUCUAACAAGUCAGAACAUAUUAAACUAACAAAGUUGGGUUUUAUAUAAUAAUAACAUUAACCACCAUCAGUUCCCGUGAAUUUAACUAAGUUUGUAAGGACAAUGCAUAAUAUACGUAAGGUUCGAGGUUUGAACUUCGGACACCAUAAAAAAAUAAUAACCACCACCACACUCCUUUUGAAAAAGAGGUCGUAAUAAGCUGUUUCGCAAAAAUAAGCUGUUUUGAAUAAGCUUAUUUUGAAAAGGGGUCGUAUUAAGUUGUUUUGGAUAAAUAAGCUGUUUUGAAUAAGCUGAUUUUUUGAAAAGAGAUUGUAAUACGUUGUUUUGCAUAAAUAAGCUAUUUUGAAUAAGUUGUUUUUGAAAACGAGAUCGUAUUAAGUUGUUUUCCAUAAAUAAGCUAUUUUUUGAAAAGAGGUCGUAAUAAGCUGUUGUUAGAGCUGUCAAAACGGGCGGCCCGACCCGUUUAGGCUCGGCCCGAACGGGCAACGGGCUUUUGAGGGCCGGGCUAAAAUCCCGGUUUAAAUAUGGGCCUAAAAAAUAGAGCCCGAGCCCGGCCCUAUACGGGCUCCCGGGCUAACGGGCCAGCCCUGGCCCGUAUUUUUUUUUCCUUUUCCAUUCUUUUACGUACUGAACAUAUAAAAUACAUAAAUAUACCGGGCUAACGGGCCAGCCCGGGCCCGUAUAUGUUUUUAGCAAUAUAAAGGAUCUAAGGAACUGCAGCCAAAGCCGCUGAAAUUGUAUAGUGAAUGGAAAAAUUUCAUAUGCUAAUAGUGAAUUUUAAGAAAGUUAUGCCUAUGUGGGUUUCUUGCAAUUUGUGUAAUAAAAAUCACAUAUUCUGAAUUCACACAGCCAAUAUUAAUUUUUAUUCAAACAAUCCUAAAUGAAUUUGUGUUGUCAUGAGGAUUCUGCUACAUAAUUAUGCAGGAUAGGUGCCAAUGUGGUGGGAAUGGAUACAACUAGAGGUGAACAUAUGGGUGGGGAAAUGUGGUAUAAAGAGGCAACAAUAUGUAACCGUGUAUUAGACAGUGGGUGAAGUUAAGCACCAAUGAUUCUUUGUAAUGUAGCAUUAUGUGCUACUCUCAUAUUUGGUGAGCAUUAUGUAAACAAACACAGCAGAAUGUAUAAAUAAACACAGCAGCAGAAUAUCAGAUUCUUUCACACCAAAAAUUGGGCCGGAUCCUAAUAUUGGGUUGGACGGUCCAGGUCCAACAGACACCACACCAAAAAUGACCCACUCUUAAUUUUUUGCGGGCUGCCCGUGGCCCGAACGGGCUAGCCCUAACAGGCUCCGGGCUUUUUCGGGGCGGGCUAAAAAGCCCUGGAAAAAUUCGGGCUGCAAUUAUUAGGCCCAAGCCCUAUAUUUUAUUCGGGCUUUCGGGCCGGCCCAUAAUGGGCCGUUUUGACAGCUCUAGCUGUUGUGGAUAAAUAAGCUAUUUUGAAUAUGUUGUUUUUGAAAUAGAGGUCAAAUUAAGUUGUUUUGCAAAAAUAAGUUAUUUUGAAUAAGCUCUUGUGGAUAAAUAAGAUGUUUUGAAUUUGCAUUUUUUGAAAAAGAGGUCAUAAUAAGCUGUUUUGGAUAAAUAAGUUUAUUUGAAUAUGUUGUUUUUGAAAAAGAGGUCGUAUUCAGUUGUUUUGCAUAAAUAAGCUAUUUUGAAUAAGCAGUUUUUUGAAAAGAGGUCGUAAUAAGCUGUUUUACAUAAAUAAGCUGUUUUUGAAUAAGAGGUCGUAUUAAUCUGUUUUCCAUACAUAAGUUGUUUUGAAUAAGUUGUUUUUUGAAAAGAGGUCGUAAUAAGCUGUUGUGGAUAAAUAAGCUGUUUUGAAUUUGUAUUUUUUGAAAAAGAGGUCAUAAUAAGCUGUUUUGGAUAAAUAAGCUGUUUUCGAUAUGUUGUUUUUGAAAAAGAGGUCGUAUUAAGCUGUUUUGCAUAAAUAAGCUGUUUAAAUAAGCUGUGUUUUGAAAAGAGGUCGUAAUAAGUUAUUUUACAUAAAUAAGUUGUUUUUGAAAAAGAGGUCGUAUUAAUCUGUUUUCCAUAAAUAAGUUGUUUUGAAUAAGUUGUUUUUUGAAAAGAGGUCGUAAUAAGCUGUUUUUGGAUAAAUAAGCUGUUUUGAAUAAGUUGUAUUUUGAAAAAAGAGAUCGUAUUAGGCUGUUUUGCAUAAAUAAUUUGUUUUGAAUAAAUUGUUAUUGAAAAAGAGGUCGAAAUAAGUUGUUUUGGAUAAAUAAGCUGUUUUGAAUAAGCUGUUUUUUUUUAAAAGAGGUUGUAAUAAGUUGUUUUGCAUAAAUAAGCUGUUUUUGAAAAAGAGGUCUUAUUAAGUUGUUUUCCCUAAAUAAGUUGGUUUUUGAAAAGAGGUCAUAAUAAGCUGUUGUGGAUAAAUAAAUUAUUUUGCAUAUAUAAGCUGUUUUGAAUAAGCUGUUUUUUGAAAAGAGGUCGUAAUAAGUUUUUUUUUUUUGCAUAAAUAAGUUGUUUUUGAAAAAUAGGUCCUAAUAAUAAGCUGUUUUGCAUAAAUAAGUUGUUUUUGAAAAAGGGAUCGUAAUAAGUUGUUUUGGAUAAAUAAGUUGUUUUGAAUAUGUUGUUUUUUGAAAAGAGAUCGUAAUAAGCUCUUUUGGAUAAAUAAGCUCUUUUGAAUAAGUUGUUGUUUUUGAGAAAGAGAUCGUAUUAAGAUGUUUUGAAAGAAAGAUCGUAAUAAUUUGGUCAUGACUAAAAUUGGAUUUUUUUAAAUUAUUAUGAAGGCAAAAUUGUCAAUUUGUAUGUUUAACCCCCUAAAAUCCCAAAUUUCGGGGAACUUUAAAAUUGGAUGAAGCCCUUCAAAACCCCUCCAAUUUCGGGGAACCUUUACCACUCCAUAAGUCUUCCCUCCACCAAAAACCCAACUCGCAAACAAGCCUUUAAGAAUUGAAAGAUUUACAGGAAAAUGGGUACUUGAUGAAGCCAUGAUCGCAACAAAGAGAAUGUUCCCAAGAAAGAAACCUUGCUCACUAAUACCAAUUUUCGCUGGAACAAGCUCUCACUUGCAUGAAUCACACACUGGUUCUACAAUCACUCACAAAAGAGAGGAUUAUAGAAUGAAGUUGGUUUAGGACAUAGAAAAUGGACCAAAUGAUUUCUCAAAUUUUAUUAAAAUAUUGCACACUUUGAUCCAUACAUUGAGUCUUAUUUAUACACCCAUACACACUUUGAUCAAUACAUUCGAGUCUUAUUUAUACACGCAUAAUAGUUGCAACAAACUGAAAAUAGAAAACUAACUGUUAUUAACAAACUAACUAACCAACAACCUGGAAUUAAUAUCAUAAUACAACAAACAAACAAACAAACAAACAGUAGAAUUUGCUGCUUCUGUAAAUUUUCAUUCCAUGUGAAAUUUCCACAAGCGAACGAUCCUGCAAUUUUUUUUUAAAAUUAUUAUAAAUAACUCAAUGCAAAAUAUAUAGGUUGAAUAAUUAAAUAUAAUAAGACACUCCUAAAAUUAGUUGAAAUUUUUAAAAUAAUUUUUCAAACGAAAAAACAUUAUGAAUACUUGAACUAAUAAAAAAACCGUAUAGUUGAGUCUUUGUAUUUUCAUUAGGUUCCUCAGCUUUUUUUUUUUUUUUUUUUUUAUUAAACCAAUCAAGUUUAGGCCGUUUCUUUAAAAUUAAUGAAAAUAAAUAUAUUUCUGAUCUUCAAGUUAUAUUUGUGUGUAUGUUUUUUAUUUUACUAUUUUGUUAGAAAAUUGAUUUUUUAUCCUAAAAACUCUUUUAUUUAAUUUUUUAAAAAUAAUUUUUAAUCAAAGGUGAGAAUACAAAAUCUCAUUUUAUAAUUUUAAAAAACACAAAUUGACACUUUUAUUUAAAAAACACUAAAUCAUUUAUAUCAAAAUCACUUUCUAUAAUGAAUGAGCACUAAAAUAUCAAAAAUGAUUUUUUAGAUAAUAUAUUGGGUUAACAUUAAAGAACAUCGGUCUGAUGUCUAAUACAUUUAACUCCUAAAAAUACUUGAUAUUAAUGUGUGGAAACCACAUGGAAUCUAUGUAAACAAGUAGAUUCAAGUAAGAAAUAUUGUCAAUGUAAAGGAUUUUUAUAUUAUCAAAUCAUAAUCCUCAAUUUGUUAAAAACAUUUUAACUUUAAUCAUAAUUUUUCAAAAGUCACACUUAUGAUUAGUUUAUGAUUUACUUAAGUGUAAGACUUUUUACAUUAUUGCUGUAUAGAAAUUAAAUUUAAAAAUUUAGUAGGGUGAGUUGAUUUUACCCUAUCAAUUUUUUCGUUUAAUAUAAAAUCAAAACAAAUGUAUUUUCUUCCAAACAAAUUAAAUUUUAGUUCAAUGUAACAAGUAAUAAGUUCUUAAAGCUAAGUUAAAUUUACGUAGUUAAUUUGUUAAGUUUAUUCAAAAUCAAAUAUUUAGAUGAUCUUAAGUUUAUUCAAAAUAAAAUAUUUUAGAGGUAAAUUUACGGUAGUUAAUUUGUUAAGACAAAUGAAAUCUGUUAGUAACACUUGAAUCCUUAGUUAGAUAAUGCUACUUCUUUGGUGACUAAUUUCAAAAUCAUUAUAUUUUAUAUUUUUAAGUUUAAAAUUUUUUAAAAAAAUUAAAACAUCCAAAAUAUAAGUUCAAUAUCAAAUGGUUAACAAUUGAGAUAAGUAUUGCAUUAUGCAAAAGUUUUUUUUUUACUAUUUGAUCAAUAAAUCGUAUCAUGAGAUUAAAUGAGAUAUAUGAUGAAACUUAACUUAAUGAUUCAAAUAAUAAAAACCACAUUUGUGCAUUAUUCAAGAUAAGUUUACGUGUGUAUAUUAGACAAAGCUCAUAUAUAUAUCAUCGUGGACUUAGCUCAGUUAGUAUGGAUAAUGCAUAAUAUAUGCAAGGUUCGGCAUAAUAUAUACACACACACUCGCACACGCAUAGGAGAGAAAAAUCAAAUACAAUCGUGUCUUGAUACCUGUUGGCCUAAUCAUUUAUAGUUGCUAUAAGACAUAGAAUCUUGAGUACUUAGUGUCUGAGAUUUUUGAGAACUAGAAUUUGCCUCAGGAGGAGGAUGCGAAUAGCUCAUAUGUUUCAUUUGGUCUGAGACUUCAUUUUUCUUAGCAUCAUUCGAAUUCGUAUUUGUGGGAGGAUCUUCCGAAUAGCUCAUACCAUUAUUUGUUGAACUCAUUUUUGUAUUUUUUUAUGCUAAUACAAAUAUUAUGUUUAAGCAAAACGAGGUAGAUAUUAAUGUAUUUAUAACCUUAGAAUGCUUGCUGCAUUAUACAAAGUAAUGUACCAUGCAAUUCCAUCGUAAGUUUUGGCAAAAUUCAUUUAAACAUUUUAAAGACCACACGUAACAAAGUUUAGUAGAGGUUUUAAUGCCAUGAGCUGAGUCAAAAUGAUUUAAAUAAUUAGUGCUUAAAUUGCAAUGUCACCCUUCUUGUUUUUCUUUUUUUCUUUAUAAAAAAAAAUUGGUGAAUGAGAAAUUUUUAUUAAUAGCUAUGAAAAUGACAUUUUUAUAACCGUUUUUGAACUCUAUUACAAAGUCAAAUUCUACCCUUCAUUUUUAUUAAUAACCCUUCAUUUUUAUAACCGGUGGUGUUGGCUUGAGACCUUAAAGUAAGGUCAUCUUAAGGUCCCAAGUUUGUCUUCCAUCCGAUGUCAAUUUUAAUACUCUAAUUUAACUUCUUUUUUUUUAAAAAAAUAACCCUUCAUUUGGUCUACCAAGUUUGUAGUUCAAUUCUUUUUCAAAUACUUAGGAAAUUUUCCGUUUUGCUCAUAAGGAAUUUCUCUGCCUUAUUUUAAUUAUGUUUAUCGAUUACAAGUUUAGCCAUUUUGAAAUGUUCAAAUGUUAGACAAUACAGAAAAAAAAAAAAAGGAAAAUACAAAAAAAUAAAAUUAAGGAAAAUAUUGCAGAGAUUUUGCACGUAUUCUACGUAAGAAAAAAAAAACUAUUGGAAGAAAUGCUAGUGAUAUUUUUCUUUUUUACAAUAACCUAGUGAUUGGUUGCGAAGGGAGAAAUUUUAUUUUAUCUUGAAAGAAGGGGAGAAAUAAUUUGUUAGCUGGAAUAGAAUAUUGGACCUCCAAUAAAAUAACCUUUUAGCUUCUCAACUCAUAUAGACUGAGAUAUCUGGGCAUUUCUUUAUAUUUUAUUCGUGAUUUAUACAUGAGAAAUGAGAUUUUUCUUUUAUCAAGAGUAAAAUGUUUUUUUUUUUGUCAAAUAAUUUAGUGGCUAGAAUUUAUCUUUUUUAAGGUGAAUAAGUGAGGAGUUCGGAAUUCCAAUCCCAACCCUUACAUAUAACAAUGCAUCUCCUUAUUAACUAAGCUAUGUUCAGAGGGACGUAAAAUGUGAUCUUUAAUUAUAAUACAAAGGUUCUAAAAAAAACUAUAGUAUAAAGGUUCUUUUUUUACUACAAUUUUCAAUAUUGCUGUAUUUUAAUAAUGGUGGACGGACCUUUAUUAUUAUUUUGCAAAUUUUGAUCAAAUAUUAUAAUUUUUCUUCUCUAAGGUCUAAUCAUCUCCACAAGAGUUCAAGCCCGAGACUUGGUAUAGUUGUUGUUCCUUUUCUCUACUAUCCUUUCAUCUUGUUUUUCUUCGUUUCAAUUGUGGUUUUACUUUAAAUUGUUACCAUCACUUGUGAUUGUUUUUGGUUAUUGAUUGUCUCUGACCAUUGCUACACACAUAAUAGUUUAUUGGUUUGCGUGUUUUGAUUCGAAUUCGCAACACUUAUCUCACCUGCAACGACUCUAUCUCUCUUUCAUUCCUAGUCACCGUCCACCACCCUCUAUCUUCAACUUGGUUCACCAUCGUCCAUUACCAUGUCAUCAUCACAUCAGUUAUCAUCACACAACCGUUCACCACCCUCAUUUUUCAGAUCGACUCUUCGUCUAGAUCUCUCUGUCUCUCUCUCUCUCUCCCUCUCUCUCCCAUCAAUGUUAUCUCACCAUUUCGUUCGUCCAACAUUACACUUGCGUCUCUAUCUCUCGUUUACCACAGCUGUGAUUAUCCCCAUUGUAACACCCAAGACUGAUGAGAGCGGGGAGUGGUCGCCGGUGCACAAGGCACGACAAUGAGCGGCUCCCGAUAGCUUAUAGACGAACCGAAUUACAUCAGAAUGAGAGGGAUCCCGAUGCCGUGCAAGUAUGAGACUGCAUAGUUGAAGGCAAGCUUAUAAGAAUUGUUUGGUACUACCUAUAUCAACAAGAUACAUCUUCUUUUUGGAAACCCAAUCCAUAAGAACUCCACAAUUAAGCGUGCUUGACUUUGAGUAGUCUUUGGAUGGGUGACCUACUGGGAAGUUUCUCGGUAAGCGUGCGAGUGAGGACAAAACUCGCUGAAAAGACUCGUGUUGGUUAAUUGGUAGGGUCAGUCGGAAAUGCUUAAAGUCGUCUGAGAUGUUAAACCCAUCGUCGUUUUUUCUAGUCAAAAUGAGAAGUAAGUAGAAGAAGAUGGGUAAAUGAGAAGGAAUGCGAAAAAUUGCAGAGAAUGAAUGGUGGUCGAAGAAGACGGAAGAGGAGGCACGGUCGUAUUCAUAUUUUGUUCCGUCGUUGAUUCUCUCUCACUCUCUUGUUUGGAUCUCUCUCAUCGAUGGCGAUUUAGUGGUGGUGAGGGAAACGAUGAUUUGAGGAUAAAAGAGAAGAGAAGAUGGAUAAGAAUGAUAUCUAGUCGAAAUUACCCAUUUGCGCUUGUUAUAUGGUUCAAAUAUCUUUUUUUUUUUUUUAAAAAAAAUCCCAAAUAAAAUAUCAUUUUUCUAUCCCAAAAAAAAAAAAAAAUCCCAUUUUUCAAAAAAGUAACAUUACUUCUCUUCCCAUUAUUUUAUUUUUAUUAAAUCCACAAUUUUGCUAUAAAUAUCAAGGUCCAUCUUUCCCUCAACAAAAAAUUAAGGUCCACCUUAACAAUUUUUGUUUUCGUAAGAAUUGGUAAUAUGCAUGGUUCAUUUCAAUAGCGUGUAGCAAAAUACUUUCAAAGAAGAAUAGAGGUAAACAAUUUCUAAGAUAUAGUUUAUGAAUUUGCAUUUACCGGUGAGAUCUUUGACCAAAUCACCACCGUGCUCGAAUAAUGGCGUAUAGGAACUGCAGAUUGUAAAAUUCAUGUUACUUUCUAAGGUGCUUGAGAAGAAGAACAUAUAUGCAAUAUAAUAAUAAACAAGAUAUUUCAAUUCUUUGACGGUUUCUUUUCUUGAUUUCUUGAACCAAUCUGCCCAAGGAUCAUCUGAAAUAGUAUUUUAUUAAUAAUAAAACAGAAAUCUUGCAGAAAAUUACCAUUGCUUUUGCUUUGAAUCACCAAUAUUGUUAUGGUUUUAAUGUUUAAGAAAGACCAUGGUUAAGUUUGUCCAUUACUAAAUCAAAAGUUAUGACACUACUAAUAGAAGGCAUGUUUAAUGUCUGAUACCAACACGACAUUAAGUUGCUUCCCUUCAUUCGAUCUUACUUAGGUUACUCCCAAGUUUCAGUGCAUUUGUUUUUGCAAAUACUCAGGAAAUUGUUAGCUUUGUUCAUAAGGAAAAUAAUAUCAAGCAGUCACAUCCACUUGCUUAAGUAAUUUUUUAAGAAUUGUUAUAUGACGUAGUUUAGUUAUCUCAUUUCAACAGCGUGUAACAAAAAAAAAAAAAUUCAAAGAAGAAUUUGGAACCGGUUAACAAUUUCAAAGUUUAUUAAUAAAAACGUAUAUGCAAUUUCUGUUUCUGUUCUUUAUAUCUGAAGUCUGUGUGUAGGGAAAUUUAUAACAUUACGUAAUGCCCAAGGAUCAAUUAAAACAAAUUUUUUGUGGAAAUAUAACAUGGAUUUGACCUGGUGUUUACAAAGAAAUAUGCAUGGGCCUGUUUGGAUUGUCUAUCUACCGACAUAAUUAUAAGUUUUGUGAGACUAUUUGAGGUAACUUAUAAAAACAGCUUUUAACAAUUUUCGCGGGCUUUUCUCGGCUUAUUUUCAAAGGGAAUAAGUUUAGAUAAUCAUAUAAUCUUAGUUUAUUUAUUUCAUGAAGUCUAGGACUCGUCACAUAAUUCUCUUGAGAUGUUGCGAACAAUGAAUUGUUACUUGGGUACCGGCUCAUGGUAUUUUUGCAAAUUGUUUUGCACCAAUUCCCCUUGUAAUUCGUAGGAACUACUAUACCGAUGAAUCGAGUCAAGUGAGUGAAGUUCAAAGAAAGAGGAAGAAGAUGUUGAGUAGGAGAUAAAAGAAAGGAAGAUUUCUAGUGCAACAAAUAAAUUCCGUAGGAAAACCUCUUUGAAGCUUGGAGGAAGAGAAACGUCUCUUGCAAAAUAUAUAACAAUUAUAAAAAAGAACAAAAACGAAAUAAAAGUGAAUAUAAAAAAAAAUAUUUUGGGAAGUGGGAACUAGUUUGUUACCGCUUGCUACUAUAAUUCUUCUACUUGGUUCCAAUAUGAAGAUAACUUAGUAUACUUAAUUAGGUAGUAUUAUAGUACUGCCAACCAACGCGAAUUGCAAAUUAUGUGACUAUGGGCUAGACUUAGGAGAAUUGACUCUUAUAGCCUUUGAACAAUUUCCGGGUUGAAAUAUUGUUAAUAUGAUUUAUUUUAAAUUUUAACUCGCCUUCGGCACAUUUUUCGUUCUCUCCAUAGACAAAAAUUUGCUGCUAUUUGGUUAGGAUGUCUUUACAAUAUCAUUUCCUACUAUUGUAUCCUUUUACCUUUCCAAUUGGAAUUCCUAUACAAAUUCGCUUGUUAUCUGCAGCAAAAGAUCAGCUUUCAGGUUCAUGAAAUUUCAUAUCUUUCUUAUAAGUAUGAAAUUCUGGAAAUCUUAUACCAGUGUGUUUGCUAUUUUCUGAUUUUGGGAUUUGUUUCCGAUUCUGAUAUGGCUUGUUCAUGAAGUUUCAUAUAUUUCUUAUUAAGAGUAUAUAUGAAGUCAUUGUUUAUUUAUCUUCUGCAUUUUCUUUUUCAGUAAUCCAUGAUUCUUGCAUCCAUUUAAAAAAGGCUCAUUUACAAGAACUAGGGUUUACUGAAUAAAUGUUUCCCACAAUAUUCUUUGCAUAUUAAUAGAACAUGUAUGAUAUUAGAAAUAUCUUGAACUCAAGGUAUUAGCGUUAUGUAUGAUCUUACAAACAUCAUUCUAGAAACUUCAAUGAUGUUAUCUAAUAUCGACAACUUCUAGAAACAAAUCAAAUAACAUAAUCCAAAUUUUAUUUAACAAAAAACAAUGAUUCCAUAUAUAUUACAAUAAGAGUACUGCUAUUUGUACUAGUUUAUAAACAAAUGUUUAACUACAUUAUUUUUUUAUUGUCAAAAAAAUUAUAUUUAAUUUUUCAAUUAAGAUAACAUGAAGAAAAUUAAGAGAAAAAACGAUAAGCUGUAAGCAAAAUAUAUUGAAAUUUUUUAUGGUUUAUGUUCUCUAUUUCUUAAGCCAAACUGCAAGGAAAUUUCACAUUUCGUAAUGUCCAAGGAUCAAUUGAAAAAGAUAUUUUGCAGAAAUCCACCAUUGCUUUGAUCCGAUACGCAUUUUUGAGUGUCUGAGAAGCCCCCAAAGAAUUCUCUGAUGCUUCAUUCAGAUUAUGUGAGCAAUCUAUCAACCUUGUGGCUUAUCAUCAUCUAGUGUUAAAGGUUUAUUUUCUGAGAAAUCUAACAUAUAAAUAUCUAGGAAUCCUCCUUAUUUGAUCAUAACAAUGAGCAUAACAAUGAGUAUUAGAAGUUAGAACUAAGAAUUGGAUUUUGACAUGUCUUAUAAUUUGGUAAAAAUAUAAUAUGUAAUACUCAUUGUUUCUGAUUGGAUCCACAUUUGAAAACCAUGACAACCGUAACAUUGUGUCCCAGUGUCUUAUUUUGCCGUGACAUUGAGAAGCUAGACAUCCUGGUUUCUGCUAGACGCGCGAAUGAGAGACGAUUGACGCAGUUCCAAACAUUCAAAGUGUCUAAAAACUAUAAAUUUAAUGAAAAUUUUCCUUGUAUUUGUGCUACUAGCUGAACAUGUAUGAUAUCAGUAAUAUCUCGAGUUACAUGUGAGUUAAAAUCUUCUACCAGAAUUUUUUUCCUUCAUUGAACCAGAUCAAUAUGAGCCAAUUUUUUUUCACCAACAUCAUUUCUCAAUAAAUUAAACGAACAUGAGCCAAUGAAUCUUUUGCAGUAUAUUUAAACUAAAAUUCGGAAAAAGGCAACAAUUUCAAUGUACUUGAGAGGAGAAUAUAGUGCAAACUGCCGCAAUGAUGGCCUUUGUUGUUGCAACCAUCUCAGAUUGUUCAGGUACUCAUGUUGUUGCAAUCGUCAAACUUUAACUGCACCAUUUUAAAUUUAGACAACAUUGCUCAUGGAACAACAUAGGAUGAGGAGGUAAUAGCUAAAAGUAUAUACUUACCAAGUAUAUAGACUAAAACACCCUCAUAAGGAAGAGCAAGUAAAUAAAAACAUUAAAAUCAUAUUAUUCCAUAAUGUUAUCUUACAUCAACAACUUCUAGAUACAAAUCAAAAAACAUAAAUACAACUUUAACUUCAGAAAAAAAAAUGAUUUCAUAUAUAUUAGAAUAAGAGUUCUUCUAUUUUGUUACAAAGGAUUUCUACAAGAGAGAAAACAAGGAUAUUUGACCAAUCAUAUUCUGACCGACCAAUAACCAUACCUACUGCCCUGUAGGAUUCUUGCGUUUAUCAUCAAACUUCUCUCAUAACAAUAAACAUUUUCCUUCAACAAUAAUCCACUACUUCUCUAGUACAUAAAUCAUAUUUUUACCAUGGUUAGACAGAGUCCUCCAAUAGUAGGUUGAGUUAAUGAUAUCUGAAAACAACGAAAAUUGCAAACCUAUGUACAAAGGUAUUGGGAGGAAAGAAAAUAUUGAAAUGAAACUGGGAACCAACGUCGAACCAUGGAAGUAUAUUAUGAAGAAGUUAGUACUUAAUGCUACCAUCAUGCUUGUUGCGGAGAUAGCUAAUGUGAUCAAUCCAGAUAUUAGUUUUAAAGGUAGUGAUUUAUAGAAGUCGUACUCUCCAUAACGUGAGACAAGAAUCGACAAGAAAAUCAAUAUCGCGGUCGCAGAUGAGAUGAAUGCAAAUGCAUCUGAUAUUGCAAACACCAAGAAUGAUGUUUUAUUCAAAUAGUGUGGUUUUCCAGAAUCAUCGGUACCGCCUGGUAAAGUAGUUGCAGCAGCAAACACUCCGGUAGCAAUGACAGUUGAAAUUAGCAUGCAAGACUCGGCAGUUUUUUUCAUCCACGACUCUGCGUUUUCUCUUAGUGUUUCAUGCUCAAUUGAGAAUAGCUCUUGUGCUGUAAAGCCUUCAGAGUUUCUCAUCUUUAUCUGUCCAGGCAACAUUAUCUUCUUUACUUUCUGUCACAUGAAAAUGUAUAUAUGUUAAGUAAAAUAUAGCUAUGUUAAUUUUUUAUAUUGCUAUUGACACAGUGGCAAACAAAUACUCAAUUAUUAAUACACACAGAAUAGGUUAAGUGUGGAAAGUAGCUCGCUUUUCAAAACAAAUUACUAUGCUGUAAAAACAAGGACAAUUGUCGAAAUAAAUUAAGAUUUUUUUUUUGGUCAAGUAGCCUAGUGGCUAGAAAUUCACACAUUUAAGGUGAAUAAGUGGAGUGUAUGGAGUUCGAACCCCGGCCCCUAUAUAUAUAUUAUGCAAUGUCCCUAUCAAUUGAGCUAAACUCACGGGUACUAUUUUAUUUAUAUAGUAGAAUAGGAUAAGUGUGGAAGUAGCUUGCUUUUAAUUUCUCAAUAAAAUGAAUAAAAAAGGGUUGCAUUGCAUGUACCUCAAACCAUAAUAACUCAAGGCACAUUUGAAAAGCUGACCCAGAAACCAAUUCAAGUUGAACUUGUGGUGCUAAUUUUGCAGCCAAGUGCAAUAAAGUGUUUCUGUCAUCAUCUUCAAAUGUCACUAUGAUACCCUUUAUAUGCCCUAUUUGAUGUAUAACAUUGUAGAUAGCAACAUACCGAUGCAAUACAGCUAUGUGUAAUAUAGUUCGAUUUUUGCUAUCCACAUCCCAUAUCAAGCUAGGAUAAACACUAAUAAGCUCCGAUAAGAAUCCAAAAUUUCCAACUUCUGCAGCAUCAAAUAUUACCUGAGAAGGUUCAUUUAUGAUUUUAUUUAACUCCACCUUUGAUGAGUAGUGUUUUUCAAGAAUGGUGGUCCAAAGAAAUUUAACUAAUUGGAAAACAAUGUGACUUUUCAUGCCUGAAAUACGAAUUAUGGUUAAUUAAGUUAAUGAAACCAAUGUAAAAGAAUUUAAAAAAUAUAAAAGUUAAUGUAAGGAUUUACCGGGAUUGGUCAUUAUGGGAUUAUGAUCAUGUUCAGGACAAUGACAACCAGAAUUUAAAGGCAAUCCAUUUUGAGCCAAGAUAUGCAAAGCUGUCUCUUCAUUCACAUCACGUGCAAAAGCUAGUGCAUUUCUAUCUCUUACCAUUUUUAAGGCUAAGUCUGCAAUUGGAGAAAAUUAUAUUGAUCAAUAUUUUUGCAAAUAAGAAGUUAUGUAAAUAUUCCAUGUUGUCCAUGGUGGACCGACGAGGAAGGCAAAUCCCUCAAAACUUAGAAGACAACUAAAUUUGCCACCUUUAAAUAGACCUCAACUUCCUUAUAGCUGAAACAGUGAUCUAAUCGGUUUUAAGUGGACAAAGCCAAUAAGAAACUAAUAUUAAGCAUUUUUGCCCACUAGACCAUAUGAACUACUCAGAAUUCUAUAGUUAGAGACCGGUUUAGUUACCGAAUUGUUGUAGUCUUCAUUUGCCUAGUCGCUAAAUCAGUCCCUCAAUCAGUUGCAAAACUGAUUAACUUCUGACCAAUUUGUAUAAUGUAGCAAAACUCUUAGUCUCUAAUGUUAGCAACCGAUUGACAAUUUCAAUCUCUCUAAAUCAGUCACUAUAUGACAGUUUUUUUUAAUGAAUUUCAACUUUCACUAAUACUUACCAUAGAUGCCAUUGUGGAUACAAGCAAAGAACAAUAAAUCCCAGUCAUCAUCUUCAAAACAAUGUAUGGUUUUCUCAUAUAGAUGCCAUGUCGUUUUACACCUUCCUUGCAAAGCAGCAUACUGAAUAGGAGUAUAUCCUUUUCCAUCCCUUAUUACAGGUAAUUGUGAGUUCCUAUCCAACAGUAAGUCAACAAUUUCAAUGUUUCCAGCUGCAGCAGCAAAGCAAAAAGCAGUGUUUCCUUUCAUAUCUUGCAACGCUAUGUCAUUGUCAUCAAGAAUACUCAAUAACUCCUUCACAAAGUGAAUGCGGUUUGCACCUGCAGCAAUAUGCAAUAGUGUUGGACACCCAUUUGCUAUGGCAGCAUUUUUCAGCUUAUCGUCUUCGUCUAAGAUGCGCUUGGCUGCUGGCCAGUUUCCAUUUAGAGCAUGUUUGUGAAUGGGAACACAAAGCUUGAGAAACCUUUUCCUUGGAUCAUUACCUAAAACAGAGUGUAUUUCUAUUGCGUUAACAUUAAACUCAUCAAUCGUGUGAACAUACCACGUAGAAUACUGAACUAUUAUCUCUGAAAAAUAAUAUGUCGUUCACUUUUCCGUUCACCUCAAAUGAGUAUAAUUAAUUUUUUUGUUACGUUACUAAUUGAUUUUUAUAUUUUAUUAGAUGAUGCGGACCUGAUUUGAAUUACUAUAACAACAAAAAACAUAACCUCAAAGGUUUUGGAUGAUACUCGACCAUAUACAACCACAUCAAGUAAUAUAUUCUCAGUUUAUAACAUAGUUCAACUAUUUUUUCAUCGAUGGGAAUACACUAACAAACCUCUUAUGUGCCAAUUUACUUGGAAGCCAUAUCGUGGACUUAAGUACGAUGUUCCAGAGGACAGUUGGUUGUGGACUACUACCACAUAUCUGAUAUGUUUUGACACAACAAGAAUGCAUAAUGUCUUGAUGUAUCAAUACGAAGAAGACAAUGCACCAAUCACUGAGAUGAUGCAGGGUAAAAGAAGUCAUGGCCCGUGGGCACAUUAUUGUCAAAAUCCCGACUUAAAUCCUAAAAUUUAUGAUUUUGUGGUUUUAUUCACCUUGAGGCUUGCUUCAAUGAGAAUCCCAAAAUAGGCAAAAUCCUAAUAAAAUCGCUACAAAUCGCACAAAACUGUGAAAUUCAUACAAAAUCACAGGAUUUUAAAGGGUUUCAAAGGAUUUUGUCCAUUUUUUUUUAGUCAUUUAUAUAUAAGUAUUUUGCGCACUUUAAACUAAGUCAUUUACGACAAUAUAUAAUUUAAAACAUAUACUUAACCUUUUUUUUUUGUUGAUAAAAUCCAUCGAUUUUAAUUUCAAUUUUACGAUGUAUUAUGUAGACUCUACAAAAGUAGUUGAGUAAAAACCUUCGAUUUUGAUUUCCAUUUUACAAUUUUCGAUUUUGUUUCAUUAGUAAUUUACUAUAUAUAUAUAUUUAUAUAUAAUUUGAGAGAGAAGGAGAGCCAUACUUGUUUCCUCUAAAAACUCACUAUUAGGAGUGUCGUAUAGAGCUACUGCCGGCGUUUGUUGUGAUACUGGAGGUGUAGUAUUCACAUUAGAUGUUGUCACUUCUCUGUCAAAGAAAAUAUAUAUUUUGCAAUUUUUAAUCGAUAAAAUAUAUAUCAGUUUUUGAACACAAAAUUGUAUGAAACACUUAACCUGUCAAGCUCCUCCCACAUUUCCUUGGCUGUCUGACAACUUGAAAUUCUUUUAAGAUCAUCUGGAUUUAAGGCACAACAUAAAAUAUUUUUGGCUUUUGCUUCUAGUUCCACGUUCUUCUUAUCUUCACCAUUGAAUUCAUCUUCAGAUUUCUCUGAUGCUAUACCAUCUAUCAUUAUUUUGGGAAUAUUUGGUCCAUUCUUAAUCACAAGCCAGAGAUCGAAGUCAACGGAUUGUAUGAAUAUCUUUAUACGCUCCUUCCAUUCAGUACAAUUUGUUGUUGUACCAUCGAAGUAUGGUGGCUUUGAAAUGGAUCUCCCUUCCACGAUCGUUGUGUCCAUACUUUUUUAAUUCUAUUAUAUUUCUUCGUUAAGUCUAGCUUUUUUAUGGCUGCUAUUGGAGUGCUUGUGUGUUGAAAGUAUGAUGCAUCUAGGUUGGGGAAGCCAAUUAGAAAUUGUUGGUGUUUUUUUGGUUUCUGUCUUGUAGGGAGUGUUGGCCGUUGCAUAUGUUUGCACAUGGUGCUUUUGUUCUUUUGUUCGAAGAAGGUGUAAAGAAUGGAGAUGGUGUUGGUGGGUGUCUUACUAAAAAAAAAUUGAAUGCCCUUAAUAAAUUUAUUUUAAUCAUUGAAAAAUGUUCUAUUGUUCGCCUCAAGAAUAUGAUUCUUAAUGACAAAGAUUCCUUCCUAAUUACAUGGAGACAUCAUUACCAAUUUUUUUAUAGAGGAUUUAAUGUUAUUUUCAUUUUUUUAAAGUAAAUAGAGAAUCUUCAUUUAUAUACUCCAGUUUUAUUGUAUAAUAGUAAGUCUUGCUUGGUCAAUAUUUAGAAUGAAUUUUUUUUUAAAAAAAUAAGUACGUAGGACUAAAAUAUUUUACAAUACAUUUGCAAGGAGUGAGAAAAGGACAAGUGAUGAUGCACAACAAAAAUUUAUACAACCGAAAUUUGUACAGUUAUCAUGGAUAGGACAAUGAAAAUUGUUUUUUUUGACAUUGAAUACUUCCUAUUGAUACAAGUAAAUGAUCAAAUUACUCCAGCGAUAGUUAACUGCCUCUGGCAUAUGCACCGACAGUUAACUGCCGCUGGCUCCUCCAGAGGCAGUUGCUUUGCUGCUUUUUAUUGUAAUUUUGCGCGUUUCGGUCGAAAAAUUAAAAUAAAUCGAAACUUAUUCAGAAUUCUACGAAACUUUAUGGACCCUCAAUAUAUAUUUUUUUAGAGUUGUCUCCAAAAAACCAGAUCAAAGUUCAAUUUCUAGGUCGACGUUUUGAUUUUUUGGUUUCUUGAGUUAUUGGCGCAUUAAAAAUUCAUAUUUAAUCCAUCCGUUGUCGAAAAAUUCUAAUUUUUUGCGGGAAAUGUUUUUUUUAUGUUCUUAAUAUUCAACCUCUAUAUAACUUUUUUGGACGCGCAGUUGGAAAAAUAUUGCAAUUUUACGCGUUUCAGUAAAAAAUUCAAAAUAAAUUGAGGAUUACUCUAAAUACUAAGAAAAUUUUCAGAUCCUCUAUAUGUAUUUGUAUAGAGGUGUCUGCAAAAAAACAGCUCAAAAUUCAAUUUUUAGGUUGAUGUUUUGAUGUUUUCGUGUCUUAAAUUUUAGGCGCGUUAAGAAUUCAUAUUUAAUCUGUCCCUUGUCAAAAAAUUCAAAUUUUUUGUGGAAAAUGUUAUUUUUAUGUUCUAAACAUGAGUGCAAAAAAGCGUGAAAAAGUUCAACAUCUAGGACACUUUUUCGGACUCGCACUUGAAAAAAAUUAUGAUUUUGCAUGGUUCGGUUGAAAAAUCAAAAUAAAUCGAGACUUAGUCAAAAUGCUACGAAACUUUAAAGAUACCUCUAUAAAAAUACAUAUAGAUGAUGUGAGAAGUUUCGUAACAUUCCGAAUAAGUGUCGAUUUUUUUUAUUUUUUCAAUUCCGAUUUUGCGCAUUUCGGUUGAAAAAAUAAAAAAAAUCGAGACUUAUUUAGAAUGUUACGAAACUUUUCACAUCAUCUAUAUGUAUUUUUAUAGAGGUGUCUGUAAAGUUUCGUAGAAUUCUGAAUAACUUUCGAUUUAUUUUGAUUUUUCAACUGAAACGCGUAAAAUCAUAAUAAAAAACAGCAAAGUCACUCUGGAGGAGCCAGCCUGCCGGCGCAUAUGCCAGAGGUAGUUAACUACCGCCGGGGAUAAUUUGGUCAUUUAUUUGUGUCAAUAGGAAGUAUUCAAUGUCAAAAAAGCAACUUUCUAGGACAAUAGCACCUAAUAAUAAAUUAACUGUUUGUAAAGGCCCAAAAACUGUUGGUAUAGAUCAUAAAACCUACACCAACGGACACUUGCUGCCGUCUACACUAAUUAGCUUAUACCAACGGCAAAAUGCCGUCCCAAUAGCCUAUACCAUCAGAAAAUUAGGGUGUUGGAAAAAAAUUCGGAGCAGACUGUCCGUUGCUAAAAGUCUGCUUCUUUUUUUUUUUUUUUUUUUUCUACAAAUAAUAUUUUGUCUUAAUUAAAUAUUUUUUUAAUAACAAAAAUUUUGAACUGUUUUUUAUAUGCACCACAAAAUAUUUAAAGCAAAAUAAAAGAAAGUUUCAAUUAUAUUGUCAAAUUAACAGGUCUUAACAACAUAUCAAACUAACAAAGUGUAAUAAUAACCACCACCAAACAGCUUCUACGACUACAAACAGCACAACAGAGUAGAUGAGCAAAAAUGUGUCCAAAAUGAAAGAAACUUCUAAUCUUUCUCUCUUCCUCCAAAUCUUCCCAUUAAUUAAGUGUAAAUUUUCAAAGUAUUGAGUUAUGUACAAUAACAUCUUCCCCUUAAGAAUUGAAAGAUUUGCAGGAAAAUGGGUACUUGAUGAAGCCAUGAUUGCAUCAAAGAGAAUGUUCCCAAGAAAGAAACCUUGAUCACUAAUACCAAUUCGCUGGAACAAGCUCUCACUUGCAUGAAUCACACAGUAACACUCCUAUUUCUAUUAAAGCAAAUAAUCAUGCGAAUAAUAUAUUUAUUCAAGAAAUAGAGGUUACAUCACAUUCAAAAUUCAAAACCAAUAAACAUGUAUAUAAACUUCAACAGUAGCAGCGGAAUAUAAAUCAGAGGAAUCCAAAUAUACAUGUCAUAAACCAAAUAUUACAUCACAUAGAUGAAUCUCAAAAAUCCCCACAUACGGGUAAACUCCAAACAUAACAAAAUCCAAAGAAAACUAAUCUAGACCGACACGACAAGUCUAGAUCAGAGCCAACUCUAACGAAGAUAUCGGAGAAAGCUCUCGAUAUCCACCAAGCACGGAACUCACCGAGCAACUACUCCUGCACAACGUCUACUCACCCAUAUAGGCAAGCAGGCGGACAAACCACUGGGGGUAAGUAUUACAUCAUCAUAAUUCAAAUAACAGUUAAUCAUGGAUAUUUCAAUAUAACAUCAUGCAUUUGAUCAAUAACAAUAUACUUACAUCAAACUCCAAUAUCUCACAUCAAUAAUCUCCAAUCACAUGUGUCAUGAACGAAUAUCAACUUACAAUUAUUCAUACACCAUUAUCAAUCAUAUAUAUCAUGAACAAUCACCAAUCAUAUUCCAUAGUAAUCAUCAAAUCACAUUUGAUGAACAAUCACCAAUCACAUUUAUCAAAUAAGACUCAUGUCAUGAUAUGCACUUAUUGACUCAAAAAUGCAUGUGGUACCGAAUCACCUCCAGGUCGUCACCUUUGAUGCCUCUUGAACAUCAUAUGUAAGAUUUCACACCCGUCUUACAUAAUCUCCGAAGUAAAAGAGCUUAACCCUUUUACAACUACAAAUACAACACGACUAUGAUGCAUGGACAUGUAAUAAGACUCGAUAAUGCGACAACAAUCACAAUUCUCAACACAAUAUAUAGGACAACACCCAAUUAUAUUGUUCAUCUCCACAUCAAUUGCAUUAUCAAGAAAACAUGCCCACACACAAUUAAAUCAUAGUAUUCAUCAUCCCACAUUAACAUGAUUAUCAAUAAUCAACGACAUCAUUCAACAUCACUAUAUCAAAUAGUUUCAUCAUUUCAUUAUAUCUCAUAUCCCAAGUAACAAGAAAACACAACGUAUUAUGAUUAAUAUCAUAUCCAACAUCUAUCUAUUCAUUACAUAUCUCUAUUCAGUCAUAAAGGCUAGUCAUGAAAAUAUAACAAAGUAUUUAGUUAAAGGAACCAUUUUCCAAGCUAUCCAUCAAACAAAUCAAGAACAUUGAAAGCCUCGACUAAGUAUAUACACCGAUCACUCAUGAGUGCAGUGGCGUAUACAUCAACGUUUCAUGGACCAAUUCAUUUAAGAUGGCAAAGUUUUGGAAGUUUAAGCAAUUAUUCUUAAUGAAAAGAUAAUUCAUUUUCAAAACGAACCAAGUUAGAUUCCAACACAACUGAAGUUAAACACUCUUAAACCUUGAAUUGAACUCAUAAUAAACAAACUUUAAAGUCCGGAAACAAUCUAAAAGUUUUGGGUUGACUUAGAGUUAGUUAUGCGAAAUUUUCGUGAAACCUCAAUAAGACCUCCUUGGAGUUUUUGUAACAUAACUCAAAAAUUAAAACUUAUUUCCAAGUCAAACCAAAGCCAUUAGAAAGCCAACAUCAUUAUCUACAACUUUUAUGUUAACCAAAAAGUCCAAAUCAAAACAGAAAUAUGAGAAAACGAUGCAAGAACGAGAAACGGGGAAAACUGACACUGAGCAGUUCGCCUGGUGAGGAAGGUUGCUCGCCUGGCGAAACAAGUCAGGUUGCAGAAAAUUAUGUUACGGGAAAAAUCCAUUUUCAUCCCAAAAUCCCAAAUUUUGACUUCCCAAUGCCCAAAUUGGAAUCCAAAGUUUGUAUGAACGUUUCUAAUCUUGAAAAGACACUCAAUUCCAUAUAACCACUUGAAUCUAACAUCAUUUUAAACAAAAUCAUCAUUUGACCCAUUUUUGCAAAACAACCAACAACAUCUUAUUUCUCACUAACAAUCAUGAUAUAUGAACACCCAAGCCAUAAAUCAUAGCAACAACAUAUCUCAGCAACAACAACAUCAAUUGAAACUUGUUUCUCACCUCAAUUCAACAACAACAUGUCAUAAUUCAUCAAUUAAGCAUAAUUUCACAACUACCCAUUUUCAAACAUUAUGAACAUGUUAUUUCAUCACCAACAAUUCAUUUAUCAUUCAAUUAACAUACUCAAACUUAUCACCAAAACAAGAGCACGAAAUUCAAGAAUUGGGUUCAUUAUAAUCACUUAUUCUCAUAAUCAAUUAUGCAUAGAACAAGAGAAAAAGAAUUAACUAAGUGAUUAUGAUAAAGACUAACCUCCUUACCUUAAUUAUCUCCAACUAUUAACUCUAGCUUCACUUUUGCUCCUAUGAUUCUUCAAUCUUCAAGUUUCCCCUUUCUCUAACCCUUGUUCUUCCUUUCUCCCACUUUCUCUCUCUACCUCUCUAUAACUUUGUGAAAUGAAAAGGAAUGAAUGAAUUUCUCUCCAAGUUUUAAGUUUUGGUAUGCUCCAUCUCAAUUGGGCUUAAUUCUAGACCCUAGUGGGCUUAACCCAUUUCUAUUCAAACCAAAAAUGUUUCUACACCUCAAACGAUAUUUAACUAAUAACGGUAAAGUGUCACUAACGGUCACUAAACAGUAAAAUCUUAGUUUUACUCUAAUAACUUAAUAAAUAAUGGUUCUCACUAAAUACUAAAAAUAAUCCUCGACUAAAUUUACAAAUUUAAUCUUACUAGUGUAAUUAUCAAAAUACCCAAUAAAUGCACUCAAUGAUAAUUAAAUAAACACAAGCACAUAUAACACAUAAUAAAAGUAAUUAAAAUAAAUCUAGCUAAAAGUCGGACUGUUACAGGUUCUACAAUCACUCACACGGUAGUUCCUCACUUGGCCUCCCCUUCACCUAAGCCUUCUGUAGUUCCUCACACGGUCUCUAACCGCAACUUUGCACAAGCGCUUCUCAACAAAAUUGAAGUCUCUGUGUCUGAUCUCCCGAAACCUUGUUGGAAAGGUGAUUCUCUUUCAAUCAAAAUUUCGGAAGCUGGUUACCAAACUGGUCUUGCUAAUAGCAACAAUUAUCUUCAUGGAAGAUUGAUGUUGUCUCGGGGUGAUAAACCCAUUUCCUCUAAAGAUUUGCGCGAGAAACUCUUGCUGUUAUGGAAACCUCUCAAUCAGUGGAAGAUGAUUCCUCUAGGUCGGGGAUUUUUUGAAUUUCGUUUCUCUUGUGCGGAUGAUCUUAGAAGUGUCUGGUCACAUGGUGCUUGGAACUUGAAACCGAGAUUGCUACAGCUUUCUCGUUGGUCUCCAGAAUUUAUUUCUUCCAGCCAAAAACAAACUCAUAGUCAGGUAUGGGUUCGUUUUUAUUAUCUUCCUUUAGAUUAUUGGCAACCUUUAACUUUAUUUGAGAUUGCUGGGGCUAUUGGUACGCCUAUAACAAUUGAUGAGAGUACUAAAAAUCAUGCUUUUGGACAUUAUGCACGUGUGCUAGUUGAUGUUGAUAUGGCUGGUUUUCUUCCCAACUCUUUGUGGCUUGAAAGAGAAAUUAUUCUUUUGAAAUUGAGAUUGAGUAUGAAAAGCCUCCAUACUAUUGUUUCAAUUGCAACUCUAUUGGUCAUUCUCCUGAUCAUUGUAAAAAAAAUCGUGUCAAUAAAGCAGCUAUUGAGAAGGUUGUCUCCAAAAGUGACCCCGUAAAAAAACUCAAACAAGAUUUUGUUCCUAAAAGAAAUGAGGGUCACGUGCAAGGCGGGAAAAAACCUAUGACUUUUGAAGAUCCCCUUAUUAUUGAUAUAAUAAGGUCGAAAGAUGCAACAUCUAGCAUGUUUAUGGGAGAUCCUAUAAUGUUUGAGAAAGAGCUUCUUCCUAGCCCUUUUAUAGGAACAGAUCCUGUGCAACCAAUUCAGAUAGCAGAUGGUCUCACCUAUAUUUCGGUUGAGCAACAUAGAGAGGAACAACAGAGUGACAAAUAUCCUGAUUUACGCAUUGUUGGUCCUUGGAGUGAUGCUGUUACUAAUAUAGACUGCACUCAAGGUUCCUCGUCAUUGUGGCACCCUUGCCUCAAGAAUUGAGGUUUUAAACCCAAACAUCGCUCAUGACUUGGAGAUUUUGCGGCCACAUUUCUUGAAGGGUAAUGAUGCUAAGAACUUUGUGCCUCAACUUUACACUGAUGAGGAAGAAAGAGAGGCCGCUAUCAAUUAUUUGAGGAACCGUUCUACUGCUUCAGAAGAGCCCUUCAUUGAGGUUGAGUCUCGGUGCACAAAGAAGAAGAAUAAGCAGAAGGGCUUUCAGGUUCACAAUACUCGCUCUGCGGGUAGGUUACUAGAUUGAUUCAUGGGCUUUCUUUGAGUUACCUUCCUUGUUCUUGUUCUUUUUCUUUUCCCCUUUGUUUGUUUGCUUUUAUUUUAUUGUGUUGCCUUUAUCGUUUGAGAAUGUUUUGGUUAGGUCCCUCUUCUCCUUUUGUACUUGUUUCUUUUUAUGUUUAUAUAUCUAGGGUGAUGCAGUUGAUUCUUCAUCUGCACACCUUUUGUUUAAAAAAAUAAAAAAUACAAUCACUCACAAAAGAGAGGAUUAUAGAAUGAAGUUGGUUUAGGACAUAGAAAAUGGACCAAAUGAUUUCUCAAAUUUUAUUAAAAUAUUGCACACUUUGAUCAAUACAUUGAGUCUUAUUUAUACACCCAUACACACUUUGAUCAAUACAUUCGAGUAAAUUAACAAACAAACAACCUGAAUUAAUAUCAUAAUACAACAAACAAACAAACAAACAGUAGAAUUUGCUGCUUCUGUAAAUUUUCAUCCCAUGUGAAAUUUCCACAAGCGAACGAUCCUGCAAUUUUUUUGAAAUUAUUAUAAAUAACUCAAUGCAAAAUAUAUAGGUUUAAUAAUUAAAUAUAAUAAGACACUCCUAAAAUUAGUUGAAAUUUUUUAAAUAAUUUUUCAAACGAAAAAACAUUAUGAAUACUUGAACUAAUAAAAAAACCGUAUAGUUUUUUUUGGUUACAAAAAUAAAAAUAAAAAAAAAUGAUUUUGUUACGUUCCUCAGCUUGCUUUUUUUUAUUAAUUCAAUCAAGUUUAGGCCGUUUCUUUAAAAUUAAUGAAAAUAAAUAUAUUUCUGAUCUUCAAGUUAUAUUUGUGUGUAUCUUUUUUAUUUUACUAUUUUGUUAAAAAAUGAUUUUUAUCCUAAAAACUAUUUUAUUUAAUUUUUAAUCAAAGGUGAGAAUACAAAAUCUCAUUUUAUAAUUUUAAAAAACACAAAUUGACACUUUUAUUUAAAAAAACACUAAAUCAUUUAUAUCAAAAUCACUUUUUAUAACGAAUAAGCACUAAAAUAUCAAAAAUGAUUUGUUAGAUAUAAUAUAUUGGGUUAACAUUAAAGAACAUCGGUCUGAUGUCUAAUUCAUUUAACUCCUUAAAAUACUUGAUAUUAAUGUGUGGAAAACACAUGGAAUCUAUGUAAACAACUAGAUUCAAGUAAGAAAUAUUGUCAAUGUAAAUGAUUUUUAUCACUACCAGAAAAAGCAAAAUUAGCGAGGGAAAUUAGUGACGGAAAAAAUGAAAUUCCUCACAAAUUUCAUGGUCGCAAAAUUUAGUGACGAAAUUAGAGAGGGAUUUCACGUUUUCCCUCACAAAAUUUCCCUCACUAAUUUUUGUUUUUUUAGUAGUGUAUAUUACCAAAUCAUAAUCCUCAAUUUGUUAAAAACAUUUUAACUUUAAUCAUAAUUUUUCAAAAGUCACACUUAUGAUUAGUUUAUGAUUUACUUAAGUGUAAAACUUUUUACAUUAUUGCUGUAUAGAAAUUAAAUUUGAAAAUUUAGUAGGGUGAAUUGAUUUUACCCUAUCAAUUUUUUCGUUUAAUAUAAAAUCAAAACAAAUGUAUUUUUUUUUCCAAACAAAUUAAAUUUGAGUUCAAUGUAACAAGUAAUAAGUUUUUAAAGCUAAGUUAAAUUUACGUAGUUAAUUUGUUAAGUUUAUUCAAAAUCAAAUAUUUAGAUGAUCUUAAGUUUAUUCAAAAUAAAAUAUUUUAGAGGUAAAUUUACGGUAGUUAAUUUGUUAAGACAAAUGAAAUCUGUUAGUAACACUUGAAUCCUUAGUUAGAUAUUGCCACUUCUUUGGUGACUCAUUUCAAAAUCAUUAUUUUUUAUAUUUUUAAGUUUAAAAUUAAAAAAAAAAAUUAAAACAUCCAAAAUAUAAGUUCAAUAUUAAAUGGUUAACAAUGGAGAUAAGUAUUGCAUCAUGCAAAAGUUAUUUUUUACUAUUUGAUCAAUAAGUUUACGUGUGUAUAUUAGACAAAGCGCAUAUAUAUAUAUAUAUAUAUAUAUAUAUAUAUAUAUAUAUAUAUAUAUAUAUAUAUAUAUAUAUAUAUCCUUGUGAGCUUAGCUCAGUUAAUAUGAACAAUGUAUAAUAUAUGUAAGAUCUGAUAUAAUAUAUGUACACACGCACACACAUACGAGAGAAAAAUCAAAUACAAUCGUGUCUUGAUACCUGUUGGCCUCAUCAUUUAUAGUUGGGAUAAGACAUAGAAUCUUGAGUACUUAGUGUCUGAGAUUUUUGAGGACUAGAAUUUGCCUUAUGAGGAGAAUUCGAAUAGCUCAUCUGUUUCAUUUGGUCCGAGACUUCAUUUUUUUUUAUUUUUUUUUUGAAGGACGAGACUUCAUUUUUCUUAGCAUCAUUCGAAUUCGUAUUUGUAGGAGGAUCUUUCGAAUAGCUCAUGCCAAUAUUUGGUGAACUCAUUUUUGUAUUUUUUUAUGCUAAUAAAAUAUUAUGUUUAAGCAAAACGAGGUAGAUAUUAAUGUAUUUAUAACCUUAGAAUGCUUGCUGCAUUAUACAAAGUAAUGUACCAUGCAAUUCCAUCGUAAGUUUUGGCAAAAUUCAUUUAAACAUUUUAAAGACCACACGUAACAAAGUUUAGUAGAGGUUUUAAUGCCAUGAGCUGAGUCAAAAUGAUUUAAAUAAUUAGUGCUUAAAUUGCAAUUUUUUUCUUUAUAAAAAAAAUUGGUGAAUGAGAAAUUUUUAUUAAUAGCUAUGAAAAUGACAUUUUUAUAACCGUUUUUGAACUCUAUUACAAAGUCAAAUCCUACUCUAAUUUAACUUUUUUUAUUUUUUUUAUUUUUUAAAACCCUUCAUUUGGUCAACCAAGUUUGUAGUUCAAUUCUUUUUCAAAUACUUAGGAAAUUUUCCGUUUUGCUCAUAAGGAAUUUCUCUGCCUUAUUUUAAUUAUGUUUAUCGAUUACAAGUUUAGCCAUUUUGAAAUGUUCAAAUGUUAGACAAUACAGAAAAAAAAAGGAAAAUACAAAAAAAAAAAUUAAGGAAAAUAUUGCAGAGAUUUUGCACGUAUUCUACGUAAGAAAAAAAAACUAUUGGAAGAAAUGCUAGUGAUAUUUUUCUUUUUUACAAUAACCUAGUGAUUGGUUGCGAAGGGAGAAAUUUUAUUUUAUCUUGAAAGAAGGGGAGAAAUAAUUUGUUAGCUGGAAUAGAAUAUUGGACCUCCAAUAAAAUAACCUUUUAGCUUCUCAACUCAUAUAGACUGAGAUAUCUGGGCAUUUCUUUAUAUUUUAUUCGUGAUUUUUAUACAUGAGAAAUGAGAUUUUUCUUUUAUCAAGAGUAAAAUAUAUUUUUUUUGUCAAGUAAUUUAGUGCCUAGAAUUUAUCUUUUUUAAGGUGAAUAAAUGAGGAGUCCGAGAUUCCAAUCCCGACCCUUAUAUACAACAAUGCAUCUCCUUAUUAACUGAGCUAUGUUCACAGGGACGUAAAAUGUGAUCUUUAACUAUAAUACAAAGGUUCUAAAAAAAAAAACUAUAGUAUAAAGGUUCUUUUUUUACUACAAUUUUCAAUAUUGCAGUAUUUUAAUAAUGGUGGACGGACCUUUAUUAUUAUUUUUCAAAUUUUAAUCAAAUAUUAUAAUUUUUCUUCUCUAAGGUCUAAUCAUCUCCACAAGAGUUCAAGCCCGAGACUUGGUAUAGUUGUUGUUCCUUUUCUCUACUACCCUUUCAUCUUGUUUUUCUUCGUUUCAAUUGUGGUUUUACUUUAAAUUGUUACCAUCACUUGUGAUUGUUUUUGGUUAUUGAUUGUCUCUGACCAUUGCUACACACAUAAUAGUUUAUUGGUUUGUGUGUUUUGAUUCGAAUUCGCAACACUUCUCUCACUUGCAACGACUCUAUCUCUCUUUCAUUCCUAGUCACCGUCCACCACUCUCUAUCUUCAACUUGGUUCACCAUCGUCCAUUACCAUGUCAUCAUCACAUCAGUUAUCAUCACACAACCGUUCACCACCCUCAUUUUUCAGAUCGACUCUUCGUCUAGAUCUCUCUGUCUCUCUCUCUCUCUCCCUCUCUCUCCCAUCAAUGUUAUCUCACCAUUUCGUUCGUCCAACAUUACACUUGCGUCUCUAUCUCUCGUUUACCACAGCUGUGAUUAUCCCCAUUGUAACACCCAAGACUGAUGAGAGCGGGGAGUGGUCGCCGGUGCACAAGGCACGACAAUGAGCGGCUCCCGAUAGCUUAUAGACGAACCGAAUUACAUCAGAAUGAGAGGGAUCCCGAGGCUGUGGAAGUAUGCAUAGUUGAAGGCACGCUUAUAGGAAUUGUUUGGUACUACCUAUAUCAACAACAUACAUCUUCUUUUUGGAAACCCAAUCCACAAGAACUCCACAAUUAAGCGUGCUUGACUUGGAGUAGUCUUUGGAUGGGUGACCUACUGGGAAGUUUCUCGAUAAGCGUGCGAGUGAGGACAAAACACGCAGAAAAGACUCGUGUUGGUUGGUAGGGUCAGUCGGCAAUGCUUAAAGUCGUCUGGGAUGUUACACCCAUCGUAGUUUUUUCUAGUCAAAAUGAGAAGUAAGUAGAAGAAGAUGGGUAAAUGAGAAGGAAUGCGAAAAAUUGCAGAGAAUGAAUGGUGGUCGAAGAAGACGGGAGUGGAGGCACGGUCGUAUUCAUAUUUUUUGUUCCGUCGUUGAUUCUCUCUCACUCUCUUGUUUGGAUCUCUCUCAUCGAUGGCGAUUUAGUGGUGGUGAGGAAAACGAUGAUUUGAGGAUAAAAGAGAAGAGAAGAUGGAUAAGAAUGAUAUGUAGUCGAAAUUACCCAUUUGCGCUUGUUUUAUGGUUUAAAUAUCUUUUUGCAAAAAAAAAAUUCCCAAAUAAAAUAUCAUUUUUCUAUCCCAAAAAAAAAAAAAAUCUCAUUUUUCAAAAAAGUAACAUUACUUCUCUUCCCAUUAUUUUAUUGUUUAUUAAAUCCACAAUUUUGCUAUAAAUAUCAAGGUCCAUCUUUCCCUCAACAAAAAAUUAAGGUCCACCUUAACAAUUUUUGUUUUCGGAAGAAUUGGUAAUAUGCAUGGUUCAUUUCAAUAGCGUGUAACAAAAUACUUUCAAAGAAGAAUAGAGGUAAACAAUUUCUAAGAUAUAGUUUAUGAAUUUGCAUUUACCGGUGAGAGACCUUUGACCAAAUCCCCACCGUGCUCGAAUAAUGGCGUAUAGGAACUGCAGAUUGUAAAAUUCAUGUUACUUUCUAAGGUGCUUGAGAAGAAGAACAUAUAUGAAAUAUAAUAAUAAACAAGAUAUUUCAAUUCUUUAACGGUUUCUUUUCUUCAUUUCUUUAACCAAUCUGCCCAAGGAUCAUCUGAAAUAGUAUUUUAUUAAUAAUAAAACAGAAAUUUUGCAGAAAAUUACCAUUGCUUUUGCUUUGAAUCACCAAUAUUGUUAUGGUUUUAAUGUUUAACAAAGACCAUGGUUAAGUUUGUCCAUUACUAAGUCAAAAGUUAUGACACUACUAAUAGAAGGCAUGUUUAAUGUCUGAUACCAACACGACAUUAGGUUGCUUCCCUUCAUUCGAUCGUAUUGAGUUUACUCCCAAGUUUCAGUGCAAUUGUUUUUGCAAAUACUCAGGAAAUUGUUAGCUUUGUUCAUAAGGAAAUUAAUAUCAAGCAGUCACAUUCACUUGCAUAAGUAAUUUUUUAAGAAUUGUUAUAUGACGUAGUUUAGUUAUCUCAUUUCAACAGCGUGUAACAAAAAAAAAUUCAAAGAAGAAUUCGGAACCGGUUAACAAUAUCAAAGUUUAUUAAUAAAAACGUAUAUGCAAUUUCUGUUUCUGUUCUUUAUAUCUGAAGUCUAUGUGUAGGGAAAUUUAUAAAUUAUAACAUUACGUAAAGCCCAAGGAUCAAUUAAAACAAAAAAUUUGUAGAAAUAUAACAUGGAUUUGACCUGAAGUUUACAAAGAAAUAUGCAUGGGCCUGUUUGAAUUGUCUAUAUACCGACAUAAUUAUAAGUUUUGUGAGACUAUUUGAGAAAUCUAUAAAAACAGCUUUUGACAAUUUUCACGGGCUUUUCUCGGCUUAUUUUCAAGAAAAAAGAAGAGAAUACGUUUAAAUAAUCAUAUAAUCUUAGUUUAUUUAAUUUAUUUCAUGAAGUCUAGGAAUCUUCACAUAAUUCUCUUGAGAUGUUACGAACAACGAAUUGGUACUUGGGUACCGGCUCGUGGUACUUUUGCAAAUUGGUUUGCACCAAUUUCCCUUGUAAUUUGUAGGAACUGCUACACCGAUGAAUCAAGUCAAGUGAGUGAAGUUCAAAGAAAGAGGAAGAAGAUGUUGAGUAGAAGAUAAAAGAAAGGAAUAUGUCUAGUACAGCAAAUAAAUUCUGUAGGAAAACAUCUUUGAAGCUUGGAGGAAGAGAACGCCUCUUGCAAAAUAACACUUAUAAAAAAGAACAAAAACGACAUAAAAGUGAAUAUAAAAAAAAAAAUAUUGGGAAGUGGGAACUAGUUUGUUACCGCUUGCUACUAUAAUUCUUCUACUUGUUCGCAAUAUUAAAAUAAUUUACUAUACUUAAUUGGGCAGUAUUAUAGUACUACCGACCAACGAGUACCAAAGCUCUAUAGUGUAACACUCUAAUCGUUGUUUUAUUUAUUUUUGAUUUAUUUAGAGUCUAUUAUGUGAUUUUAAAUAAAUUUGGUGAUUUAUGUGGUGUGAUAUACUUUAUAUAGUUUAUUUUUAUAAUAAUUGGAUUAAGUGAGAAAUAACUAUUAUUUUGGAGUUUGGGGAGUUAUUUAAUAUUUAAUAGAAUUAAGGGGAGCUAAAUGAAAAUAAAGGGAGUUAAGUAAAUGGGAAGUUAGGAAAUAGAGGUCAGAAGCUUUAUACGUGAAAACUGUCAAGUUGGAAGAAAAGGGAGAGAAGAGCAAGUUAGGCCAAGGAACCAUUUUUGCUGUGCAUUUCUUCUGCAAAUUUAAGGUAAGGGUGAGGUUUACUUCAAUAGUAUAGUUAUUAAUUUCUGAUUGUGAGUUUAACAGGUUUUGGUGAGAAUUGAGGAAUUGGGUAUAAGAUGAAUUAAUGGUUUUUGGGGUAGAUAUUGCUGUUCUGAUGUUAGAAUUAGGUUAUGGUUGCAUAGAACACUUCAUUGCCUAUCUGUAAACUAAUUUGGGGAGUGAUUUGAAGAAAAAUGGGAUUUUGGGGAAAAACCUGUUUUCUGCCCGUACAGAAGUUCAUCGCUCGCCUCGCGAGUAGCCUUACUCGCCAUGGCGAGUGACCAACUUCAUAGCUCGCCUCGCGAGCAGACCAACUCGCCGUGGCGAGCAACCCAGUUCAAAACUUGAUUUUCAAAUUGUUGUUAUAAGAUGUUUUUGGGAUAGUUUAAUGUGCCUAAAUGAUUUUAAAGAGGACUGAAGCAAGUUUUAGAUUAAAAAGAUGAAUAGGGAGCUUAGAAUUGAAUUUUGAGUGAGAAAAAUGUCAAAACUCUCGAGAGCACCUUAUUUUCACUCGCCUCGAGUUCGCCUUGAACUCGCCAUGGCGAGUAACCUGUUUUGUGAACUCGCCAUAGCGAGCAGAUGUGCUCGCGAGGCGAGCUACCUAGUUUUGUGUGCUGAUUGUAUUUAUAUGAAUGGUAGUGAUUGAUGUUGAUGUUUUGAGCAUAGUUAUGUUUAAUUGUGCAUUGUUCUGGAUUGUUGGAUCACUGUUUGAAGAUAUUGCUGAUGGCUGUAAUGUAUGCUAUAUUUAUUGAAUCAUACAUGUUGUAUAAAUUGGAGUCAUAUGAAGAAUGUAUGCAUGGUCAAGUUGUAUGUAGAUAUACACGAGUGGGUCCAUUGCAUAUGCAUAAACAGCGGGAGGACUCAUGUCCUGGAGCACUAGUUGUUCACAGCGGCGAGAGCUUCGGUCCUGAUGAAUGCUUUAACCAUUCAAAAGAGGUGAGGGCUUCGGUCCUGUUUGGUACCACAUGCAUAAUUGCAUUUAUUGAGGAGUCUUAGUGGUGUCGUCAUGUCAUGCAUGAGUCCUUGUUGUUGGUUGUGAUUGUUAUAUUGAUGAUGAUGAGGAUGUUGUUGAUGAAUAUAUAUAUUUAUACAUAUAUUAUGAUGAAUUGAUUUGAUGAUGAAGUUGUUGCUUUGUGAAAUAUAUAUUUAUAUUUACAAGAUGAUGUAUUGAUGUUUAAUAGGGUGUUAGAUUCAAUUGAUGAUUUUAAUAUCUAUAUUUUAUUGUUGUGAAUCUCACCCCUUCUGCUUGAAAAUGUUGCCCUUCCUAUGGGUAACUUGCAGGUGAUCCUGANAUGAAUCGAGUCAAGUGAGUGAAGUUCAAAGAUAGAGGAAGAAGAUGUUGAGUAGGAGAUAAAAGAAAGGAAGAUUUCUAGUGCAACAAAUAAAUUCCGUAGGAAAACCUCUUUGAAGCUUGGAGGAAGAGAAACGUCUCUUGCAAAAUAUAUAACAAUUAUAAAAAAGAACAAAAACGAAAUAAAAGUGAAUAUAAAAAAAAUAUUUUGGGAAGUGGGAACUAGUUUGUUACCGCUUGCUACUAUAAUUCUUCUACUUGGUUCCAAUAUGAAGAUAACUUAGUAUACUUAAUUAGGUAGUAUUAUAGUACUACCAACCAACGCGAAUUGCAAAUUAUGUGACUAUGGGCUAGACUUAGGAGAAUUGACUCUUAUAGCCUUUGAACAAUUUCCGGGUUGAAAUAUUGUUAAUAUGAUUUAUUUUAAAUUUUAACUCGCCUUCGGCACAUUUUUCGUUCUCUCCAUAGACAAAAAUUUGCUGCUAUUUGGUUAGGAUGUCUUUACAAUAUCAUUUCCUACUAUUGUAUCCUUUUACCUUUCCAAUUGGAAUUCCUAUACAAAUUCGCUUGUUAUCUGCAGCAAAAGAUCAGCUUUCAGGUUCAUGAAAUUUCAUAUCUUUCUUAUAAGUAUGAAAUUCUGGAAAUCUUAUACCAGUGUGUUUGCUAUUUUCUGAUUUUGGGAUUUGUUUCCGAUUCUGAUAUGGCUUGUUCAUGAAGUUUCAUAUAUUUCUUAUUAAGAGUAUAUAUGAAGUCAUUGUUUAUUUAUCUUCUGCAUUUUCUUUUUCAGUAAUCCAUGAUUCUUGCAUCCAUUUAAAAAAGGCUCAUUUACAAGAACUAGGGUUUACUGAAUAAAUGUUUCCCACAAUAUUCUUUGCAUAUUAAUAGAACAUGUAUAAUAUUAGAAAUAUCUUGAACUCAAGGUAUUAGCGUUAUGUAUGAUCUUACAAACAUCAUUCUAGAAACUUCAAUGAUGUUAUCUAAAAUCGACAACUUCUAGAAACAAAUCAAAUAACAUAAUCCAAAUUUUAUUUAACAAAAAACAAUGAUUCCAUAUAUAUUACAAUAAGAGUACUGCUAUUUGUUACAAAUGACUUGUACAAGAGAAGAAUGCAUGAAAAAAGGAUACUUCAGUACUUCACCAAUCCGGCCGACCAUACCUAAGAGAUUGGAUCGUUAUUAUCAAACUUCUGUUAUAACAAAAAACAAUGAUUCCAUAUAUAUUACAAAAAGUGUUAUAUACUGCCCCGUAGAUUUCUUGAGUUUAUUAUCAAACUUCUGUUAUAACAAUACACAUUUUUCUUACAUAAUAAUCUACUACUUCUCUAGUACAUAAAUCAUAUUUUUACCAGGCUUAGACAGAGUCCUCCAAUAGUAGAUUGAGUUAAUGAUAUCUGAAAACAGUGAAAAUUGCAAACCUAUGUACAAAAGUAUUGGGAGGAAAGAAAAUACUGAAAUGAAACCAGGAACCCACGUCGAACCAUGGUAGUAUACUAUAAAGAAGUUAGUACUUAAUGCUACCAUCAUGCUUGUUACGGAGAUAAAUAAUGUGACCAAUCCACAUAUUAGCUUUAAAGGCAAUGAUUUAUAGAAGUCAUACUCUCCAUAACGCGAGACAAGAAUAGACAAGAAAAUCAAUAUCGCAGUCGCAGAUGAGAUGAAUGCAGAUGCAUCUGAUAUUGCAAACACCAAGAAUGAUGUUUUAUUCAAAUAGUGUGGUUUUCCAGAGUCAUCGGUACCGCCUGGUAAAGUAGUUGCAGCAGCAAACACUCCGGUAGCAAUGACAGUUGAAAUUAGCAUGCAAGACUCGGCCGUUUUUUUCAUCCACGACUCUGCAUUUUCUCUUAGUGUUUCAUGCUCAAUUGAGAAUAGCUCUUGUGCAGUAAAGCCUUCAGAGUUUCUCAUCUUUAUCUGUGCAGGCAACAUUAUCUUCUUUACUUUCUGUCACAUGAAAAUGUAUAUAUGUUAGUAAAAUACAUACAGAUAUGUAAAAAAUUUAUAUUGCUAUUGACACAGUGACAAACACAUACUCAAUUAAGAGUUUUAUUUAUAGUGGAAUGGAAUAGGAUAAGUGUGGAAGUAGCUCGCUUUUAAUUUCUCAAUAAAAUGAAUAAAAAAGGGUUGCAUUGCAUGUACCUCAAACCAUAGUAACUCGACGCACAUUUGAAAAGCAGCUCCAGAAACCAAUUCAAGUUGAUUUCGUGGUGCUAAUUUUGCAGCCAAGUGCAAUAGUGUGUUUCUGUCAUCAUCAUUUUCAUAUGUCACUAUGAUACCCUUUAUAUGCCCUAUUUGAUGUACCAGAUUGAAGAUACUAGCAUGCCGAUGCAAAACAGCUAUGUGUAAUAUAGUUCGGUUUUUGCUAUCCACAUCCCAUAUCAAGCUAGGAUAAACACUGAGAAGCUCUGAUAAGAAUCCAAAAUUUCCAACUUCAGCAGCAUCAAAUAUUAGUUGAGAAGGUUCAUUUAGGAUUUUGUUUAACUCCUCCUUUGAGGAGUAGUGUUUUUCAAGAAUCGUGGUCCAAAGAAAUUUAACCAACUGGAAAACCACGUGAUUUUUCAUGCCUGCAAUACGAAAUAUGGUUACUUAAGUUAACGAAACCAAUGUAAAAGAAUUUUAAAAAAAUAAAAGUUAAUGUAAGGAUUUACCAGGAUUGGUCAUGAUGGGAUUAUGAUCAUGUUCAGGACAAUGACAACCGGAAUCCAAAGGCAUUCGAUUUUGAGCCAAGAGAUGCAAAGCUGUCUCUUUAUUCACAUCACGUGCAAAAGCUAGUGCAUUCCUACCUAUUAACAUUUUUAAGGCUAAGUCUGCAAUUGGAGAAAAUUAUAUUGAUCAAUAUUUCUGCAAAUGAGAAGUUGUGGAAAUAUCCUUUGUUAUCUAUGGUGGACUGAUGAUGGCAAAUCGCUCAAAACUUAGACAACAACUGAAGUUGCCACCUUUAAAUAGACCUGAACUUACUUAUAGCUGAAACAGUGAUCUAAUCGGUGUUGACUGUUUAGUGGACAAAGCCAAUACGAAACUAAUAUUAGUUGUGUAUUAAGGCAUUAAUAUUUGUUUGUCUAGGAGGGUUCGGUAGCUCAACUGGUUUGAGCUAAAUGUUAAGGAGUUGGAGGUUCCGACCAAUUUAAAGACCAAUUUGCAUAAUGUAUAUUAACUAUUAGUCUCUAAUGUUAGCAACCAAUAUGACAGCUUUUUUAAUUUCAACUUUCAGUAAUACUUACCAUAGAUGCCAGUGUAGAUACAAGCAAAGAACAAUAACUCCCAGUCCUCAGCAUCAAAACGAUGUAUGGUUUUAUCAUAUAGAUGCCAUGUCAUUUUGCAUCUUCCUUGCAGAGCAGCAUACUGAAUAGGAGUAUAUCCUUUUCCACCCCUUUUUACAGGUAACUGUGAGUUCCUAUCUAACAUUAAGUCAACAAUUUCCAUGUUUCCAGCUGCAGCAGCAAAGCAAAAAGCAGUGUUUCCGUUG